This 1528-nucleotide long non-coding RNA is filed under the name Canis lupus familiaris (dog). Its description in RNAcentral is "lncRNA (ENSCAFG00845017371.1)". The record is from RNAcentral. Lineage: Eukaryota; Metazoa; Chordata; Mammalia; Carnivora; Canidae.
UUUUUCUUUUUUUUUUUUUUUUUUAAUUUAUGAAAGAGAGAAAGAGCAAGCAGAAGCGGGGGGGCGGGGGGAGGCAGAAGGAGAAGCAGACUCCUCUGCUGAGCAGGGAGCCAGACAUGGGGCUUGAUCCCAGGACCCCAGGAUUGUUACCUGAGCUGAAGGCAGACACUGAACCCACUGAGCCACCCAGGCGCCCCUCAAACCAUUCUUUAGAGAACAGACUGGAAGGAAAGACUGGUUCCCACCCAGAAGGCAGACUUGAGGUCAUUGGAACAGAAAAUUCUAAUUCCUGACUACCUAGAGCAUAGUUUCAAAGACAAAGUGCUGAUUCAACACGAGCAAGUUCUUUGGCUCCACACACUCCUCACUUAGUAGGAAAGGAUAUUGUCAGAGGAAGCCCAGUGGGAGCCUCCACAGGCCAGGGCUUCUGCUUGUGUCUAAGGAUAAUACUGUGUAACUCCCUCCAAACUCCAAUGGUAAAACCCAAAUCCAGGACUACUGAGCAACUGAAAGUCAGGCAGAGUAUAUUUGGUGUUUUCAUAUAGUGUUUGAUAAAGAUUUAAAUUGGAAAAUAUUCUCUCUGAAAUGUUUAUUUAACUAAUUGUUGUCACAUGUAUGUUACCUCCUAAUCCAAUGACAAAAAUAAUAUGAACAUACCAGCUUACUUUGUGUUAACUUCGUUUUCACUCCCUCUGGUAGAUCAUGUUUCAAAACGUGGCCAAUAUUCCACAUGCUAUUCUUACAUUGUAAUAUUGAUAUUCAUCCCUCUCAUAGAGUAAUGGGAUCUAUGUCCUCUCCCCUUGAAUGUGAGUGAAACUCUGUGAUUGCCUCAACCAAGAGAAUAUGGCAAAAGUGGCCCUAUGUGAUUUCCAAGGCUUGGUCAUAAAGAUGCCAUUUAUUUUUGCUGUGAUUUCGUGGGACUUACUCUGAGACCACAGUUAUCAUGCUGUGAGGAAGAGAAAUAUCUAUAUGGAGAGGACUCAUACAGGUGUUCCAACCAACGGCCCAGAUAGCAUUGGCCACCAGAUUUACCAGUAAGCAAAGCUUAGAUGAUUCCUGCCUUCAGUCAUAAAGUCACCUCAAGCCUUCCAGUAAUCCCAACUGAUUCCCAAUGUCCUCAUCAAGGCCCUGCUCAUUUUACAGGUUAAUGAGCAAAAUACAUGAUUACUAUUGUUUGAAACUACUAUGCUUGGGGUGAUUUGUUAUGUAGCAAUAGAUACCUGAAACUUUAUUUAUAUAUCCUUGCAAUAAAAGCUAAGUUUACAGGGGUGCCUGGGUGGCUUAAUUGGUUGAGUGUCUGACUCUUGAUUUUGGCUCAGGUCAUGGCUCAGGGUCCUAGGAUGGGAGCCCAGUGUCAGGACUCCAUGCUCAGUGUGGAGUCUCCUUGAGAUUCUCUUUCCCUCAACCACUGCCCCACUCUCCACUCCCCAUCUCUCUUUCUCUCUCUCUAUCUCUCUCUCUCUCUCAUAAAUAAACCCUUUUAAAUUAUUUAUUUAUUUAUUUAUUUAUUUAAAAAAUUUAUUUAUUU